This 253-nucleotide ribosomal RNA is filed under the name uncultured bacterium. RNAcentral's name for it is "partial 16S ribosomal RNA". It matches the Rfam family "Bacterial small subunit ribosomal RNA", at positions 524 to 776 of the family's 1533-position model. The record is from RNAcentral.
UACGUAGGGGGCAAGCGUUGUCCGGAAUCAUUGGGCGUAAAGAGCGUGUAGGCGGCCAGAUAAGUCCGCUGUGAAAUCUCGAGGCUCAACUUCGAGCUGUCGGCGGAAACCAUCUGGCUAGAGUCCGGAAGAGGAGAGUGGAAUUCCUGGUGUAGCGGUGAAAUGCUUAGAUAUGACAUAGAACACCAAUUGCGAAGGCAGCUCACUACACGAAUAUUGACACUGAGGCACGAAAGCGUGGGGAUCAAACAGG